AGUGAACGCUGGCGGUAGGCCUAACACAUGCAAGUCGAACGGCAGCACAGCAAGAGCUUGCUCUUACGGGUGGCGAGUGGCGGACGGGUGAGGAAUACAUCGGAAUCUACUUUUUCGUGGGGGACAACGUAGGGAAACUUACGCUAAUACCGCAUACGACCUACGGGUGAAAGCAGGGGAUCUUCGGACCUUGCGCGAUUGAAUGAGCCGAUGUCGGAUUAGCUAGUUGGCGGGGUAAAGGCCCACCAAGGCGACGAUCCGUAGCUGGUCUGAGAGGAUGAUCAGCCACACUGGAACUGAGACACGGUCCAGACUCCUACGGGAGGCAGCAGUGGGGAAUAUUGGACAAUGGGCGCAAGCCUGAUCCAGCCAUACCGCGUGAGUGAAGAAGGCCUUCGGGUUGUAAAGCCCUUUUGUUGGGAAAGAAAAGCAGCAGGUUAAUACCCCGCUGUUCUGACGGUACCCAAAGAAUAAGCACCGGCUAACUUCGUG
Molecule: ribosomal RNA, 492 nt
Filed under: uncultured bacterium
Lineage: Bacteria
Description: partial 16S ribosomal RNA
Rfam family: Bacterial small subunit ribosomal RNA
Source: RNAcentral